This 498-nucleotide ribosomal RNA is filed under the name uncultured bacterium. Its description in RNAcentral is "partial 16S ribosomal RNA". It matches the Rfam family "Bacterial small subunit ribosomal RNA", at positions 28 to 506 of the family's 1533-position model. The record is from RNAcentral.
GACGAACGCUGGCGGCGUGCCUAAUACAUGCAAGUCGAGCGAAGUUUUUCUGGUGCUUGCACCGGAAAAACUUAGCGGCGAACGGGUGAGUAACACGUAAAGAACCUGCCUCAUAGACUGGGACAACUAUUGGAAACGAUAGCUAAUACCGGAUAAUAGCAUUAACUGCAUGGUUGAUGUUUAAAAGUUGGUUUUGCUAACACUAUGAGAUGGCUUUGCGGUGCAUUAGCUAGUUGGUGGGGUAAAGGCCUACCAAGGCGACGAUGCAUAGCCGACCUGAGAGGGUGAUCGGCCACACUGGGACUGAGACACGGCCCAGACUCCUACGGGAGGCAGCAGUAGGGAAUCUUCCGCAAUGGGCGAAAGCCUGACGGAGCAACGCCGCGUGAGUGAAGAAGGAUUUCGGUUCGUAAAGCUCUGUUGUUAGGGAAGAAUGAUUGUGUAGUAACUAUACACAGUAGAGACGGGACCUAACCAGAAAGCCACGGCGAACUACGU